AAUCGCACGACGUCUAACUUAAUCAUCCAUUCCACGAAGCGGACCGGACAAAAGUAAAGCCCAGAGUUGUAUGGACGAUGAAACACAACAGCUACUAAAAACAAAGACAAGAAAAUACGU
Etheostoma spectabile (orangethroat darter) is the source of this 120-nucleotide long non-coding RNA. RefSeq lists it as uncharacterized. The transcript has 3 exons. Lineage: Eukaryota; Metazoa; Chordata; Actinopteri; Perciformes; Percidae. The record is from RefSeq and is a predicted model, not a curated record.